AGAGCAAGAAGAUGAUGCAUGUGAGCCCUGCCCUUGGGAAGCUUCCAGGUUGGGAAAUGAGGAAUGAGCCUGACACCCAGGGCCCAGAGAGACCCAGGCCAGAGGCAGGCCAGGAGGCAGACACGCGCUGCUGGGUAAUGACGACAGCACCAGUAAUCACGGCUACUCCUUGUUAAGUACUUACUAAGUGCAAGACUCCAAGCUAAGCAAUUAAUAGACCUUUUCUUGUUUAAUCCUUACCACAAUUCCAUAAGGUUGAGUAGGAAGUCCUUCUUGAAGUCUAAUCUCAAGAAUUCAUGCCAUGGAUUGGGCCAAUGUUCCACCUUUAUUGGAGUCUGGGGACUUAGGUGGAAAAGGCAGAACUGGCUGGUUGGAGGAGCCACCUCCCUGCAAGGGGCCAGGAGGGAGAUUACAGAGGCGCCAGGCCCAGAGCUCCAACAUGCACCUGCCACAGCUCCAGGGGAGAUCGGGGGCCUGCCAAUUUACCCCGCCCCAUGAUCUCAUGGCUGUGUGUGCCAGGCACUGGCUCAGGGAGCAGCAUCUCACAGAGAAGAUACUUGGAUGGGCCACAGGCCAAAACUGGGCCAAAACCCUGGAGAGGAGGACCUGGCUCAAGGCCACACCACAUUUCCAUGUCAUUUUUCAGUGGCACCAACUGAGCUGGACAGAUGUUCUCACAGAGCUACACAUGCCAUGAUCAUCACUAGUUGCGAGAGUCUCCAGUGUUCAUUAAGCCUAUUUUGCUGGAAGUUUAGUCCCUGGAGGAUUAGUCCCUGCCCUUAAGGAGUGCCAAAGAAGACUUUGGAAUCUAAAUCACAUCUCCCCUGCUGCAAUUUUUUCCUCUUGAUAAUCAAGGAAACUCACUGAUAAAACUCUCAAUGAGGAGCAGCUCUCCCCAUGAGCAAGUUCUUGCCUUCAUUGCCAGGGAGGCCCCAGCUAAGGUUAUACUGGGAAAGGAAUCUCUGGGGAGUACCUGGAAAAGGUCAGCUUCUCCUCAAAGGAAGCCUCUCCAGCUGGUGUACUGCAAAGCCUUCUAAGACCAAGUUCUCUCCUCCUGACCUCUGGAACCAGCCUGUGUGCCAGUGCUGUGUCCCCAGUAACACACGAGUCUCUCCCUCAGAAGCCACAGAAGGAUGCAGAGAGAGACCAACCUGGGAUUGAUUCUCAGCCCUAGCACUUACUGUGUGGACAUAACUGCUCUGGACCUCAGCUUUGCUUUCUAUAAAAUGAGCACCAUUUUAUAGAUAUGAACCCUUUAAGAGAGUCAUAAAGAUUGAAGUUGAUCUGUGCUGCGCCUGGCACAGAGGCCUCCCUCAGUAAAUGGCAGCCGUUGCUAUUGGGGCACCCUAACACCCCUUGCCCCUGCCCACCACUAGCUUUCAUUUAGGCCCACACUGAGGGUGUGGCUGUUGUGUUGGGGGAAGGAAAAAAAACCAUGCCUGGGUUGCAGGGCCCCCACCCCGAACUGGUCUGCUUUUGUGGGAAGCAUUUUCUGAUGCCCUCACCCUACCCCUGGGCUGGUUGACUAAGUGUCCAGCAUCAUGAGGAAAGGAGCAGGGUUCAGGGACAGCUUGGUUCAGCCCUGAAACUCAUCUGGGCCUAGGUCCAGAUGAGAGGCAAGCUUGGAAGGCCUUCCCUUGUACCCUUGCCUGUCCUGCAGCACCCUCCAGCCUGCAGGCCGCUCCUGGGUGGCAUAGCACCUUGGAUGUCAGGUGUGGGCCUUCCCAGGCACAUGGCAUGAGGGGGUACUUCUGUGGGUUGCUGGGGGCAGGAAGGGAUGUGUCUCCAGCUGGAUCUGGGCUCUCCCAUUUUGGGGCCCAGCCGUGCCAGGACAGCACACAUGGGUGCUUAGUGCGAAUCUCAUGAUGGAGCAGAGGAGGAGCAAGGCAAAACCAGGCAGUCCCCAGACCCCUGCUUCUGCCCUGCCCAGAGACAGUGGAGCAGGUGUCUCCAGCUUCUUAACCUCAACGCACAGUAAGAAAUACAUUUUACAGCAACCAACAGACACAUACAUUUACAAAACGA
Pongo pygmaeus (Bornean orangutan) is the source of this 2025-nucleotide long non-coding RNA. RefSeq lists it as uncharacterized. NCBI's taxonomy places the organism in Eukaryota, Metazoa, Chordata, Mammalia, Primates, Hominidae. The transcript has 4 exons. The record is from RefSeq and is a predicted model, not a curated record.